Molecule: ribosomal RNA, 469 nt
Filed under: uncultured bacterium
Lineage: Bacteria
Description: SSU rRNA
Rfam family: Bacterial small subunit ribosomal RNA
Source: RNAcentral
AGAGCGAACGCUGGCGGCAUGCUUAACACAUGCAAGUCGCACGGUUCGGGGGCAACCCCGGGCAGUGGCGGACGGGUGAGGAACGCGUAGGAAUCUGUCCCGGAAUGGGGGAUAACCGUGGGAAACUACGGCUAAUACCGCAUACGUCUCCGAGGGGCAUCCCUUGGCGAUAAAAGGAGCAAUCCGCUCGAUGACGGGACCGCGUCCCAUUAGCUAGAUGGUGGGGUAACGGCCUACCAUGGCACCGAUGGGUAGCUGGUUUGAGAGAGCGACCAGCCACACUGGGACUGAGAAACGGCCCAGACUCCUACGGGAGGCAGCAGUGAGGAAUUUUCCGCAAUGGGCGCAAGCCUGACGGAGCGACGCCGCGUGUGGGAAGAAGGCCUUCGGGUCGUAAACCACUGUCGAAGGGGACGAUAAUGACGGUACCCUUGGAGGAAGCCCCGGCUAACUACGUGCCAGCAGCCGC